Castor canadensis (American beaver) is the source of this 565-nucleotide non-coding RNA. The record is from RefSeq and is a predicted model, not a curated record. NCBI's taxonomy places the organism in Eukaryota, Metazoa, Chordata, Mammalia, Rodentia, Castoridae.
UUUAAAGGCCAAAGAAAAUGUGGGAAACACUGGGAUAGGCCAGCUACAUGAGUUACUUCCUUCAGAACUUCUCAGAUCCUUUAAUAUGCUACUCUGUGUAAUAAACUCCCAAGAGUUUACCCUAACCCUACUCAUCUUUCUCUUUUCACAGUGUGUGGAGGGUUCUAUGGAUCUCAUGGUGGAAAGUGCUGCUUUAGGACAAAGACAGUGGUCACAAGAUCAAAUAUAACUUAUCUGGAUAAUGUCCAAAGGUGUUUGGAGGCAGGAAGAUAACUGAAGAUGCUGAAGGGGUACUUGAGAAAGACAGGAGAUGAUGCCUCCCAUGGGAAACUCUCUGAAAAGGAAAAAGGAGAAAGCAACCUUUGGGGUUCAUCCUUUUAGAAGGAUGACAAAUGGGACCCAGCCAGCUGGAGGCUCUGAACCACGGCAAAUCCAUGUGACAUAUAAAGUCAAACAGAAAGAUUUUAUUUUAUAAUGUAUCCAUCUUGAUUUGGCAGAUUGGACUGGAUAUUGAUGGAAUAUACUAGAAAGCACCUCCAAACACAUCCCAUCUGUCCCAGUGGUG